RNAcentral lists this ribosomal RNA (253 nucleotides) under uncultured bacterium. Its description in RNAcentral is "partial 16S ribosomal RNA". It matches the Rfam family "Bacterial small subunit ribosomal RNA", at positions 524 to 776 of the family's 1533-position model. The record is from RNAcentral.
UACGAAGGGGGCGAGCGUUGUUCGGAAUCACUGGGCGUAAAGGGCGCGUAGGCGGCCCUCUUAGUCGCGUGUGAAAGCCCCGGGCUCAACCUGGGAACGGCGCGCGAAACGGGAGGGCUGGAGUUCGGGAGAGGAGAGUGGAAUUCCCAGUGUAGAGGUGAAAUGCGUAGAUAUCUGGAGGAACACCGGUGGCGAAGGCGACAUCCUGGACCGGUAUUGACGCUGAGGCGCGAAAGCCAGGGGAGCAAACGGG